RNAcentral lists this ribosomal RNA (253 nucleotides) under uncultured bacterium. RNAcentral's name for it is "partial 16S ribosomal RNA". It matches the Rfam family "Bacterial small subunit ribosomal RNA", at positions 524 to 776 of the family's 1533-position model. The record is from RNAcentral.
UACGGGGGGGGCAAGCGUUGUCCGGAUUUACUGGGCGUAAAGGGAGCGUAGGCGGACUUUUAAGUGGGAUGUGAAAUACUCAGGCUCAACCUGAGGGCUGCAUUUCAAACUGGAAGUCUAGAGUGCAGGAGAGGAGAGUGGAAUUCCUAGUGUAGCGGUGAAAUGCGUAGAGAUUAGGAAGAACACCAGUGGCGAAGGCGACUCUCUGGACUGUAACUGACGCUGAGGCUCGAAAGCGUGGGGAGCAAACAGG